GUCCGCACCGUAAACGAUGGAUACUAGGUGUCCGGCCUUUCGGGGCUGGGUGCCCAAGGGAAACCGAUAAGUAUCCCACCUGGGGAGUACGUCCGCAAGGAUGAAACUCAAAGGAAUUGACGGGGGCCCGCACAAGCGGUGGAGCAUGUGGUUUAAUUCGAUGAUACGCGAGGAACCUUACCUGGGCUAGAAUGCCCCUGACCGUCCUGGAAACAGGUCUUUCCUUCGGGACAGGGAGCAAGGUGCUGCAUGGCUGUCGU
RNAcentral lists this ribosomal RNA (260 nucleotides) under uncultured bacterium. Its description in RNAcentral is "partial 16S ribosomal RNA". It matches the Rfam family "Bacterial small subunit ribosomal RNA", at positions 793 to 1055 of the family's 1533-position model. The record is from RNAcentral.